Molecule: long non-coding RNA, 698 nt
Filed under: Homo sapiens (human)
Lineage: Eukaryota; Metazoa; Chordata; Mammalia; Primates; Hominidae
Description: HSALNT0279333
Source: RNAcentral
GCGGGCACAGGCCAUGAGAGCCGCACCUGCCCGAGGGCCCUGGCUGUUGGACUUUCCACUCUAGAGGGGCUCAGGGGAGGCUCUGACACCAAGGGAGCUGGACCUCCUGCACCGUCCUGGGGACCCAGGCCCUCAGGUCCGCCAGACAAGCCCGCUAAGCAAGUAACUAGAAGGACCGGGCCCAGCCGCCUGCUGGAGCUGCCGGGGGUCCAGGGGCAGCCGCCCUGCCAGGCCUACUCUACGGCAACACGGAGCGUUUGCAGCAGCUUCUCCCAGGCCCUGUGGGCCGAGGGCUCAGGAGUCCAGGGCAGCGCAGGACGGGCACAGCUGGGGGCCCCUCAUAGCCAGAAGGGCCCCUGGUGAGGCCAGGCAGAGGGCGGCUGCCUUUCCACAGUCCAUUCGCCCACUCAGCCACAUUUGGGGGUCUCUGCCCACCGGGCUCCACCCUCCUCCCACUCCCCACCCCAGCUAUGACAUCUUCUCGUGCCAGCCUCACAGGGGCCUUAGACUGGACGGCAGCGUUUGGCUCGCAAAUGAGGAACCGAGGCUGGAGGUUACCGGGACAGGGGCGGGGAGGCUGGUGGGGGCUGAGGAAGGGUGUUGGGAGGCUAAGGUGGUGCAGAGGAAGGGGGUGGAAAGGCUAGUGGGGGACUGAGGAUGGGGGCGUGGAGUCUGGGAGGCUGAGGCCAGGGGCGGAG